RNAcentral lists this ribosomal RNA (253 nucleotides) under uncultured bacterium. RNAcentral's name for it is "partial 16S ribosomal RNA". It matches the Rfam family "Bacterial small subunit ribosomal RNA", at positions 524 to 776 of the family's 1533-position model. The record is from RNAcentral.
UACGUAGGGGGCAAGCGUUGUCCGGAAUCAUUGGGCGUAAAGAGCUCGUAGGCGGUUUGUCGCGUCUGCUGUGAAAACGCGAGGCUCAACCUCGCGCCUGCAGUGGGUACGGGCAGACUAGAGUGCGGUAGGGGAGAUUGGAAUUCCUGGUGUAGCGGUGGAAUGCGCAGAUAUCAGGAGGAACACCGAUGGCGAAGGCAGAUCUCUGGGCCGUAACUGACGCUGAGGAGCGAAAGCAUGGGGAGCGAACAGG